GUCGUAACGAGAACGGAUAUUAGCUUGCUAAUAUUGUCAGCUAAGUGGCGCACGGGUGAGUAAUAUAUAGUUAAUCUGCCCCAAAGAAGAGAAUAAUUGUUGGAAACGACUUGUAACGCUCUAUAUGCCUUUAUUACAUAAGUAAGCAAGGGAAACAUUUAUGGCUUUGGGAUGAGACUGUACGGUAUCAGCUAGUUGGUGAGGUAAUGGCUCACCAAGGCUAUGACAUCUAACUGGUUUGAGAGGAUGAUCAGUCACACUGGAACUGAGACACGGUCCAGACUCCUACGGGAGGCAGCAGUGGGGAAUAUUGCACAAUGGAGGAAACUCUGAUGCAGCAACGCCGCGUGGAGGAUGACACAUUUCGGUGCGUAAACUCCUUUUAUAUGAGAAGAUAAUGACGGUAUCAUAUGAAUAAGCACCGGCUAACUCCGUGCCAGCAGCCGCGGUAAUACGGGGGGUGCAAGCGUUACUCGGAAUCACUGGGCGUAAAGAGCAUGUAGGCUGGUUUGUAAGUUGGAAGUGAAAUCCUAUGGCUUAACCAUAGAACUGCUUCCAAAACUGCAGACCUAGAAUAUGGGAGAGGUAGAUGGAAUUUCUGGUGUAGGGGUAAAAUCCGUAGAGAUCAGAACGAAUACCGAUUGCGAAGGCGAUCUACUGGAACAUUAUUGACGCUGAGAUGCGA
RNAcentral lists this ribosomal RNA (685 nucleotides) under uncultured Arcobacter sp. RNAcentral describes it as "bacterial SSU rRNA". It matches the Rfam family "Bacterial small subunit ribosomal RNA", at positions 61 to 756 of the family's 1533-position model. Lineage: Bacteria; Pseudomonadati; Campylobacterota; Epsilonproteobacteria; Campylobacterales; Arcobacteraceae. The record is from RNAcentral.